This 81-nucleotide transfer RNA is filed under the name Podarcis lilfordi (Lilford's wall lizard). RNAcentral describes it as "tRNA.Ile". The record is from RNAcentral. Lineage: Eukaryota; Metazoa; Chordata; Lepidosauria; Squamata; Lacertidae.
ACCUUAUUAAUGGAUAGGUCAGUUGGUUAGAGCAUGGUGCUGAUAAUGUCAAGGUUGCAGGUUUGAUCCCUGUAUGGGACA